Molecule: small nucleolar RNA, 132 nt
Filed under: Myotis davidii
Lineage: Eukaryota; Metazoa; Chordata; Mammalia; Chiroptera; Vespertilionidae
Description: Small nucleolar RNA SNORA72
Rfam family: Small nucleolar RNA SNORA72
About the family: U72 is a member of the H/ACA class of snoRNAs. The snoRNA gene is located in intron 4 of the ribosomal L30 protein gene in human, mouse and chicken.
Source: Rfam by way of RNAcentral
CUGCAAAUAUUCUCACUGUUCUGAUUUUGUGAUAAUCAGGGCAGGCUAAACAUUCACUAUAUUAAGACCAUGCAUGUGUACCCACACCUAGUUCUUUCCAUAGGCCUGGUUUUCUAAAUGCUGAUGAUAAAA